RNAcentral lists this non-coding RNA (818 nucleotides) under Pseudoeoscyllina brevipennisoides. Its description in RNAcentral is "12S ribosomal RNA". The stretch from base 368 to 808 matches the Rfam family "Microsporidia small subunit ribosomal RNA", at positions 752 to 1303 of the family's 1311-position model. The record is from RNAcentral. Lineage: Eukaryota; Metazoa; Arthropoda; Insecta; Orthoptera; Acrididae.
UAUUGUAUUUGAUCAAUUUAUUUUCUUAAAAGUUUUAUUCUUGCUUAUUUAUUCAUUUUUUCUUUUGAUCAUGUAAGAUUUUAAAGACUAAAAGUUCUUUUUGCAGUGAUUUGAUUUAAUUAUCAAUUAAUUUUGGAAUUAGCAAUUGAUUAAUUAUUGUCAUGUUUCGUGCCAGCAGACGCGGUUAGACGAUUAAUGUAAAUGAAUAUUUUCGGUUAAGGCAGUUAUUUUUAAUUUUAGAAUUAAUUUACAAAUUUAUGAGGUGGAAUUUUAAUUUUUUUUUUAAUUCUUAAUAUGAUUCUGUGAAACUUAAUUAAUAAACUAGGAUUAGAUACCCUAUUAUUUUAAGUGUUAAUUUUGUUUACCUGGGUAGUAUAAGUUAUGAUCUUUAAACCUAAAGAAUUUGGCGGUAUCUUAUUCCAUUUAGAGGAAUCUGCCCCGUAAUUGAUAAUGCACGAUUAACUUUACUUAAUUUAUUUGUUUGUAUAUCUCCGUUAUAAAAAAAUCUUUUUGGAGUUAUAAUUUUCUUGAUUUAUAAUUUUAAAAUAUUUCAGGUCAAGUUGCAGCUUAUAAUUAAAAGGAGGUGGAUUACAAUAAAUUUUAAUUUAUUAUGGAUUUAAUAUUGAAAUAUUAUAAAUGAAGGUGGAUUUAAUAGUAAUUUGAAUUACUUAAUUUAAUUGAUAUUGGCUCUAACAUGUGUACACAUCGCCCGUCACUCUCAUUAUAAAUACUUUACUUUAAUUUAAAGUUUUUUUCAGUUUAGAUGAGAUAAGUCGUAACAUAGUAGAUGUACUGGAAAGUGUAUCUAGAAAGAUUAU